This 374-nucleotide ribosomal RNA is filed under the name uncultured organism. RNAcentral's name for it is "partial 16S ribosomal RNA". It matches the Rfam family "Bacterial small subunit ribosomal RNA", at positions 527 to 896 of the family's 1533-position model. The record is from RNAcentral.
GUAGGUGGCAAGCGUUGCCCGGAAUUAUUGGGCGUAAAGCGCGCGCAGGUGGUUCUUUAAGUCUGAUGUGAAAGCCCCCGGGCUCGAACCGGGGAGGGUCAUUGGAAACUGGGGAACUUGAGUGCAGGAGAGGAAAGUGGAAUUCCACGUGUAGCGGUGAAAUGCGUAGAUAUGUGGAGGAACACCAGUGGCGAAGGCGACUUUCUGGCCUGUAACUGACACUGAGGCGCGAAAGCGUGGGGAGCAAACAGGAUUAGAUACCCUGGUAGUCCACGCCGUAAACGAUGAGUGCUAAGUGUUGGGGGGUUUCCGCCCCUCAGUGCUGCAGCUAACGCAUUAAGCACUCCGCCUGGGGAGUACGGUCGCAAAGACUG